AGAGUUUGAUCCUGGCUCAGGAUGAACGCUAGCGGCAGGCCUAAUACAUGCAAGUCGAACGGAUGUAGCAAUACAUUAGUGGCGCACGGGUGCGUAACGCGUAUGCAACCUACCUUUCAGUGGGGGAUAGCCCGGGGAAACCCGGAUUAAUACCGCAUAAGAUAGUUGACUGGCAUCAGUUAAUUAUGAAACAUUUAUGGCUGAAAGAUGGGCAUGCGUUAGAUUAGCUAGUUGGUGAGGUAGAAGCUCACCAAGGCGAUGAUCUAUAGGGGUUCUGAGAGGAAGAUCCCCCACACUGGUACUGAGACAGGGACCAGACUCCUACGGGAGGCAGCAGUAGGGAAUAUUGGGCAAUGGAGGCAACUCUGACCCAGCCAUGCCGCGUGCAGGAAGAAGGCCUUCUGGGUUGUAAACUGCUUUUGGAAGUGAACAAAAAGACACUGCGGUGUAAAUUGAGUGUAGCUUCAGAAUAAGCACCGGCUAACUCCGUGCCAGCAGCCGCGGUAAUACGGAGGGUGCAAGCGUUGUCCGGAUUUAUUGGGUUUAAAGGGUGCGUAGGCGGCUACUUAAGUCAGGGGUGAAAGACGAUUGCUUAACAAUCGCAGUGCCUUUGAUACUGAGUAGCUUGAGUACAGAUGAGGCAGGCGGAAUGGGUGGUGUAGCGGUGAAAUGCAUAGAUACCAUCCAGAACACCGAUUGCGAAGGCAGCCUGCUAAACUGUAACUGACGCUGAGGCACGAAAGCGUGGGGAUCGAACAGGAUUAGAUACCCUAGUAGUCC
Molecule: ribosomal RNA, 780 nt
Filed under: uncultured bacterium
Lineage: Bacteria
Description: bacterial SSU rRNA
Rfam family: Bacterial small subunit ribosomal RNA
Source: RNAcentral